CGUAGGGUGCGAGCGUUAAUCGGAAUUACUGGGCGUAAAGCGUGCGCAGGCGGCUUCGCAAGUCAGACGUGAAAGCCCCGGGCUUAACCUGGGAAUGGCGUUUGAAACUACGGAGCUGGAGUGUGGCAGAGGGAGGUAGAAUUCCACGUGUAGCGGUGAAAUGCGUAGAUAUGUGGAGGAAUACCGAUGGCGAAGGCAGCCUCCUGGGCCAACACUGACGCUCAUGCACGAAAGCGUGGGAGCAAACAGGAUU
RNAcentral lists this ribosomal RNA (253 nucleotides) under uncultured bacterium. Its description in RNAcentral is "partial 16S ribosomal RNA". It matches the Rfam family "Bacterial small subunit ribosomal RNA", at positions 526 to 779 of the family's 1533-position model. The record is from RNAcentral.